This 70-nucleotide microRNA precursor is filed under the name Gallid alphaherpesvirus 1. RNAcentral describes it as "microRNA iltv-mir-I6 precursor". Its record names the gene iltv-mir-I6. The record is from miRBase by way of RNAcentral. Lineage: Duplodnaviria; Heunggongvirae; Peploviricota; Herviviricetes; Herpesvirales; Orthoherpesviridae.
UCUCUGUCUCCUGUACCCUCAUCGUCGUUGUCGGUCUUCCCAACGCUGAGGGGCCAUGAGACAGUGAGUC